GAGUUGGAACCACCCCUUCCCAUCCCGAACAGGACCGUGAAACAACUCCACGCCGAUGAUAGUGCGGAUACCCGUGUGAAAGUAGGUAAUCGUCAGGC
RNAcentral lists this ribosomal RNA (98 nucleotides) under Pandoraea cepalis. Lineage: Bacteria; Pseudomonadati; Pseudomonadota; Betaproteobacteria; Burkholderiales; Burkholderiaceae. The record is from RNAcentral.